RNAcentral lists this ribosomal RNA (449 nucleotides) under uncultured bacterium. Its description in RNAcentral is "partial 16S ribosomal RNA". It matches the Rfam family "Bacterial small subunit ribosomal RNA", at positions 29 to 523 of the family's 1533-position model. The record is from RNAcentral.
AAUGAACGCUGGCGGCAGGCCUAACACAUGCAAGUCGAACGGACCCUUCGGGGUUAGUGGCGGACGGGUGAGUAACGCGUGGGAACGUGCCCUUUGGUUCGGAAUAGCCUCGGGAAACUGGGAGUAAUACCGGAUGAGCCCUAUGGGGGAAAGAUUUAUCGCCAAAGGAUCGGCCCGCGUUGGAUUAGGUAGUUGGUGGGGUAAUGGCCUACCAAGCCGACGAUCCAUAGCUGGUUUGAGAGGAUGAUCAGCCACACUGGGACUGAGACACGGCCCAGACUCCUACGGGAGGCAGCAGUGGGGAAUCUUAGACAAUGGGGGAAACCCUGAUCUAGCCAUGCCGCGUGAUCGAUGAAGGCCUUAGGGUUGUAAAGAUCUUUCAGAUGGGAAGAUAAUGACGGUACCAUCAGAAGAAGCCCCGGCUAACUCCGUGCCAGCAGCCGCGGUAA